GACGAACGCUGGCGGCGUGCCUAAUGCAUGCAAGUCGAACGAGAGCGACCGGUGCUUGCACUGGUCAAUCUAGUGGCGAACGGGUGAGUAACACGUGGGUAACCUGCCCAUCAGAGGGGGAUAACAUCCGGAAACGGAUGCUAAAACCGCAUAGGUCUUCGAACCGCAUGGUUUGAAGAGGAAAAGAGGCGCAAGCUUCUGCUGAUGGAUGGACCCGCGGUGCAUUAGCUAGUUGGUGAGGUAACGGCUCACCAAGGCCGUGAUGCAUAGCCGACCUGAGAGGGUGAUCGGCCACAUUGGGACUGAGACACGGCCCAAACUCCUACGGGAGGCAGCAGUAGGGAAUCUUCCGCAAUGGACGCAAGUCUGACGGAGCAACGCCGCGUGAGUGAAGAGGGUUUUCGGAUCGUAAAACUCUGUUGUUAGAGAAGAACAAGUGCUAGAGUAACUGUUAGCGCCUUGACGGUAGCUAACCAGAAAGCCACGGCUAACUACGUG
This 498-nucleotide ribosomal RNA is filed under the name uncultured bacterium. RNAcentral describes it as "partial 16S ribosomal RNA". It matches the Rfam family "Bacterial small subunit ribosomal RNA", at positions 28 to 507 of the family's 1533-position model. The record is from RNAcentral.